This 530-nucleotide unclassified non-coding RNA is filed under the name Aspergillus sydowii. RNAcentral describes it as "partial contains 18S rRNA, ITS1, 5.8S rRNA, ITS2 and 28S rRNA". The stretch from base 168 to 321 matches the Rfam family "5.8S ribosomal RNA". The record is from RNAcentral. Lineage: Eukaryota; Fungi; Ascomycota; Eurotiomycetes; Eurotiales; Aspergillaceae.
AAGGAUCAUUACUGAGUGCGGGCUGCCUCCGGGCGCCCAACCUCCCACCCGUGAAUACCUAACACUGUUGCUUCGGCGGGGAACCCCCUCGGGGGCGAGCCGCCGGGGACUACUGAACUUCAUGCCUGAGAGUGAUGCAGUCUGAGUCUGAAUAUAAAAUCAGUCAAAACUUUCAACAAUGGAUCUCUUGGUUCCGGCAUCGAUGAAGAACGCAGCGAACUGCGAUAAGUAAUGUGAAUUGCAGAAUUCAGUGAAUCAUCGAGUCUUUGAACGCACAUUGCGCCCCCUGGCAUUCCGGGGGGCAUGCCUGUCCGAGCGUCAUUGCUGCCCAUCAAGCCCGGCUUGUGUGUUGGGUCGUCGUCCCCCCCCGGGGGACGGGCCCGAAAGGCAGCGGCGGCACCGUGUCCGGUCCUCGAGCGUAUGGGGCUUUGUCACCCGCUCGACUAGGGCCGGCCGGGCGCCAGCCGACGUCUCCAACCAUUUUUCUUCAGGUUGACCUCGGAUCAGGUAGGGAUACCCGCUGAACUUAA